RNAcentral lists this ribosomal RNA (209 nucleotides) under uncultured bacterium. RNAcentral's name for it is "partial 16S ribosomal RNA". It matches the Rfam family "Bacterial small subunit ribosomal RNA", at positions 524 to 732 of the family's 1533-position model. The record is from RNAcentral.
UACGAAGGGGACUAGCGUUGUUCGGAAUCACUGGGCGUAAAGCGCACGUAGGCGGAUAUGUCAGUCAGGGGUGAAAUCCCGGGGCUCAACCUCGGAACUGCCUUUGAUACAGCAUAUCUUGAGUCCGAUAGAGGUGGGUGGAAUUCCUAGUGUAGAGGUGAAAUUCGUAGAUAUUAGGAAGAACACCGGUGGCGAAGGCGGCCCACUGG